RNAcentral lists this small nuclear RNA (328 nucleotides) under Mus musculus (house mouse). Its description in RNAcentral is "7SK RNA". The stretch from base 1 to 281 matches the Rfam family "7SK RNA". From Rfam's summary of the family: 7SK was discovered as an abundant small nuclear RNA in the mid-70s but a possible function has only recently been suggested. Two independent studies have found that 7SK RNA binds the CDK9/cyclin T complex (known as elongation factor P-TEFb). Lineage: Eukaryota; Metazoa; Chordata; Mammalia; Rodentia; Muridae. The record is from Rfam by way of RNAcentral.
GGCUAUGAGGGCCAUCUGACUGUAAUGUCUUGUCAUCCCAUUGAUCCCUAGGGUUGACUCAGCUGAUCUAGAUGGGUAGGCAGGUUUCCUCUCCUCUCUCACUGAGCUGUGUUUGCCCAUCCUGAAGCUUAAUGCUUGGAUGAUUGAAGAUGAUGAGGACAAGUGUUUACUCAAAGACAUAGAGGAGCUGUGCUCCCCUGCUAGAAGCCUCCCAAUAAGCUCUCAAAGAUAGCUAUUUUUUUCCAUUUUUAUUAGGUAUUUGGCUCAUUUACAUUUCCAAUGCUAUACCAAAAGUCCCCCAUACCCAUCCACCCCAAAGAUAGCUAUU